UAGGGUUUAGAGUUAAGGGGUGGGGUUUAGGAUUUAGGAUUUAGGGUUUAGGGUUUAGAGUUUAGGAUUUAGGGUUUAGGGUUUAGGGUUUAGGUUUUAGAGGUUAGAGUUUAGGGUUUAGAGUUUAGGGUUUAGGAUUUUGGGUUUAGGGUUUAGAGUUUAGGGUUUAGAGUUUAGAGUUUGGGUUUUAGGGUUUAGAGUUUAGGUAGAGUUGAGAAGUGGGGUUUUGGGAUAAGAUUUCAAAUUUUGAAAAAUAAAAAAAAUUAAAUU
RNAcentral lists this long non-coding RNA (270 nucleotides) under Brassica napus (rape). RNAcentral describes it as "long non-coding RNA (BNAP_LNC016140)". Lineage: Eukaryota; Viridiplantae; Streptophyta; Magnoliopsida; Brassicales; Brassicaceae. The record is from RNAcentral.